Long non-coding RNA from Zalophus californianus (California sea lion), 414 nucleotides. RefSeq lists it as uncharacterized. NCBI's taxonomy places the organism in Eukaryota, Metazoa, Chordata, Mammalia, Carnivora, Otariidae. The record is from RefSeq and is a predicted model, not a curated record. The transcript is spliced from 3 exons.
GCGUCACUUCCGCCCCGCCCCAAGGCGUGCAAGAAACUGGAGACCCUUCGGGAGGGGCCUGCAGGAGGCUCGGACGCUGGAGUUUAAAGCCUGUCAGCGGGCGGAGCUUUGCUCCCCCAACCUCCUGGUCAUCUCUGGUUCGCGCUCCCGGCUCGUGGUUUCCUCGUGGCCCAAGAGAGAGAAUGAUAGAGAGCAUGAGAGGGAGGAGUGUCAGAGGGAGAAGCAGACUCCCUGCUGAGCAGGAAGCCUGAUGUGAUCCUGGGACUCCAGGACCAUGACCUGAGCCGAAGGCCGUCGCUUAACCAACUGAGCCACCCAGGCACCCUACAGACAAGAUCUUAACUACAUCCACCUUCCUAUAGGAGCACAGAGACAGCGAGAGAGGGAACACAGCAGAGGGAGUGGAAGAGGGAG